This 205-nucleotide ribosomal RNA is filed under the name uncultured bacterium. RNAcentral describes it as "partial 16S ribosomal RNA". It matches the Rfam family "Bacterial small subunit ribosomal RNA", at positions 524 to 727 of the family's 1533-position model. The record is from RNAcentral.
GACAGAGGGUGCGAACGUUGUUCGGAAUUACUGGGCGUAAAGCGCAUGUAGGCGGCAGCGCAAGUCGGGCGUGAAAUCCCACGGCUCAACCCGUGGAAGUGCACUCGAAACUGCGCAGCUAGAGUCCUGGAGAGGAAGGUGGAAUGCUUGGUGUAGAGGUGAAAUUCGUAGAUAUCAAGCGGAACACCGGUGGCGAAGGCGGCCU